Molecule: ribosomal RNA, 1343 nt
Filed under: uncultured bacterium
Lineage: Bacteria
Description: 16S ribosomal RNA
Rfam family: Bacterial small subunit ribosomal RNA
Source: RNAcentral
GACGAACGCUGGCGGCGUGCUUAACACAUGCAAGUCGAACGGAAAGGCCCUGCUUUUGUGGGGUGCUCGAGUGGCGAACGGGUGAGUAACACGUGAGCAACCUGCCCUUGACUUUGGGAUAACUUCAGGAAACUGGGGCUAAUACCGGAUAGGAGCUCCUGCUGCAUGGUGGGGGUUGGAAAGUUUCGGCGGUUGGGGAUGGACUCGCGGCUUAUCAGCUUGUUGGUGGGGUAGUGGCUUACCAAGGCUUUGACGGGUAGCCGGCCUGAGAGGGUGACCGGCCACAUUGGGACUGAGAUACGGCCCAGACUCCUACGGGAGGCAGCAGUGGGGAAUAUUGCACAAUGGGCGGAAGCCUGAUGCAGCAACGCCGCGUGCGGGAUGACGGCCUUCGGGUUGUAAACCGCUUUCGCCUGUGACGAAGCGUGAGUGACGGUAAUGGGUAAAGAAGCACCGGCUAACUACGUGCCAGCAGCCGCGGUGAUACGUAGGGUGCGAGCGUUGUCCGGAUUUAUUGGGCGUAAAGGGCUCGUAGGUGGUUGAUCGCGUCGGAAGUGUAAUCUUGGGGCUUAACCCUGAGCGUGCUUUCGAUACGGGUUGACUUGAGGAAGGUAGGGGAGAAUGGAAUUCCUGGUGGAGCGGUGGAAUGCGCAGAUAUCAGGAGGAACACCAGUGGCGAAGGCGGUUCUCUGGGCCUCUCCUGACGCUGAGGAGCGAAAGCGUGGGGAGCGAACAGGCUUAGAUACCCUGGUAGUCCACGCUGUAAACGGUGGGUACUAGGUGUGGGGUCCAUUCCACGGGUUCCGUGCCGUAGCUAACGCUUUAAGUACCCCGCCUGGGGAGUACGGCCGCAAGGCUAAAACUCAAAGGAAUUGACGGGGCCCCGCACAAGCGGCGGAGCAUGCGGAUUAAUUCGAUGCAACGCGUAGAACCUUACCUGGGUUUGACAUGGAUCGGGAGCGCUCAGAGAUGGGUGUGCCUCUUUUGGGGUCGGUUCACAGGUGGUGCAUGGCUGUCGUCAGCUCGUGUCGUGAGAUGUUGGGUUAAGUCCCGCAACGAGCGCAACCCUUGUUCACUGUUGCCAGCACGUUAUGGUGGGGACUCAGUGGAGACCGCCGGGGUCAACUCGGAGGAAGGUGGGGAUGACGUCAAGUCAUCAUGCCCCUUAUGUCCAGGGCUUCACGCAUGCUACAAUGGCUGGUACAGAGAGUGGCGAGCCUGUGAGGGUGAGCGAAUCUCGGAAAGCCGGUCUCAGUUCGGAUUGGGGUCUGCAACUCGACCUCAUGAAGUCGGAGUCGCUAGUAAUCGCAGAUCAGCAACGCUGCGGUGAAUACGUUCCCGGG